This 540-nucleotide ribosomal RNA is filed under the name uncultured bacterium. RNAcentral describes it as "bacterial SSU rRNA". It matches the Rfam family "Bacterial small subunit ribosomal RNA", at positions 94 to 630 of the family's 1533-position model. The record is from RNAcentral.
AGUGGCGUACGGGUGAGUUAUAUAUCGGAACGUGCCCAGUAGUGGGGGAUAGCCCGGCGAAAGCCGGAUUAAUACCGCUUACGACCUACGGGUGAAAGCGGGGGAUCGCAAGACCUCGCGCUAUUGGAGCGGCCGAUAUCAGAUUAGCUAGUUGGUGGGGUAAAAGCCCACCAAGGCGACGAUCUGUAGCUGGUCUGAGAGGACGACCAGCCACACUGGGACUGAGACACGGCCCAGACUCCUACGGGAGACAGCAGUGGGGAAUUUUGGACAAUGGACGCAAGUCUGAUCCAGCCAUGCCGCGUGCGGGAAGAAGGCCUUCGGGUUGUAAACCGCUUUUGUCAGGGAAGAAAAGUCUUGGGUUAAUACCUCGGGACGAUGACGGUACCUGAAGAAUAAGCACCGGCUAACUACGUGCCAGCAGCCGCGGUAAUACGUAGGGUGCAAGCGUUAAUCGGAAUUACUGGGCGUAAAGCGUGCGCAGGCGGUUCUAUAAGACAGAUGUGAAAUCCCCGGGCUCAACCUGGGAACUGCAUUUGU